CAGCACCUCAAGUGGUCAGGAUGAUUAUUGGGCCUAAAGCAUCCGUAGCCGGCUCUGUAAGUUUUCGGUUAAAUCUGUACACUUAACGUACAGGCUGCCGGGAAUACUGCAGAGCUGGGGAGUGGGAGGGGUAGACGGUACUCGGUAGGAAGGGGUAAAAUCCUUUGAUCUAUUGAUGACCACCUGUGGCGAAGGCGGUCUACCAGAACACGUCCGACGGUGAGGGAUGAAAGCUGGGGGAGCAAACCGGAUUAGAUACCCGAGUAGUCC
RNAcentral lists this ribosomal RNA (270 nucleotides) under uncultured archaeon. Its description in RNAcentral is "partial 16S ribosomal RNA". It matches the Rfam family "Archaeal small subunit ribosomal RNA", at positions 477 to 747 of the family's 1478-position model. The record is from RNAcentral.